AGAGUUUGAUCCUGGCUCAGAAUCAACGCUGGCGGCGCGCUUAACACAUGCAAGUCGCACGAGAAAGGGAGCAAUCCCAAGUAAAGUGGCGCACGGGUGAGUAACACGUGGAUCAUCUACCUUUUAGUGGGGAAUACCCCCGGGAAACUGGGGACAAUACCGCAUAAGCUCGUAAGAGGAAAGCAGCAAUGCGCUGAAAGAGGAGUCCGCGGCUGAUUAGCUAGAUGGCGGGGUAACGGCCCACCAUGGCGAAGAUCGGUAGCCGGCCUGAGAGGGCACACGGCCACACUGGCACUGAAACACGGGCCAGACUCCUACGGGAGGCAGCAGUGGGGAAUCUUGCACAAUGGAGGAAACUCUGAUGCAGCGACGCCGCGUGAGCGAUGAAGCCCUUCGGGGUGUAAAGCUCUUUCGACGGGAACGAUAAUGACGGUACCCGAAGAAGAAGCUGCGGCUAACUACGUGCCAGCAGCCGCGGUAAUACGUAGGCAGCAAGCGUUGUUCGGAAUUACUGGGCGUAAAGAGUGUGUAGGUGGUGCUUUAAGUUUGGUGUGAAAUCUCCCGGCUUAACUGGGAGGGUGCGCCGAAAACUGGAGUGCUUGAGUAUGGGAGAGGUAAGCGGAAUUCCUGGUGUAGCGGUGAAAUGCGUAGAUAUCAGGAGGAACACCUGGUGUAGACAGCUUACUGGACCAUCACUGACACUGAGACACGAAAGCGUGGGUAGCAAACAGGAUUAGAUACCCUAGUAGUCC
Molecule: ribosomal RNA, 752 nt
Filed under: uncultured bacterium
Lineage: Bacteria
Description: bacterial SSU rRNA
Rfam family: Bacterial small subunit ribosomal RNA
Source: RNAcentral